CAAUAGCGUAUAUUAAAGUUGUUGCAGUUAAAAAGCUCGUAGUUGGAUUUCUGGUAGGAGUGACCGUUCCGAACUUGAUUGUUCGUGUAUUGUGGUUUCUCCAGCCAUCCUUGUGGAGAACUUUUCUUGCAUUAAUUUGUAGGGAUUGGGACCCGCAUCGUUUACUGUGAAAAUAUUAGAGUGUUUAAAGCAGGCAAUCGCUUGAAUACAUUAGCAUGGAAUAAUAAGAUAGGACUUUGGUACUAUUUUGUUGGUUUGCAUACCAAAUUAAUGAUCAACAGGAACAGUUUGAGGAUAUUCGUAUGAACAUGUCAGAGGUGAAAUUCUUGGAUUUUGAUCAGACGAACUACUGCGAAAGCAUUUAUCAAGGAUGUUUUCAUUAA
RNAcentral lists this ribosomal RNA (383 nucleotides) under uncultured eukaryote. RNAcentral describes it as "partial 18S ribosomal RNA". It matches the Rfam family "Eukaryotic small subunit ribosomal RNA", at positions 592 to 976 of the family's 1831-position model. The record is from RNAcentral.